CGUAGGGUGCAAGCGUUAUCCGGAAUCACUGGGCGUAAAGCGUGCGUAGGUGGCGCGUUAAGUGAGGUGUUAAAUCGUGUGGCUCAACCAUAUCGAUGCAUCUCAUACUGGCGUGCUAGAGGACAGCAGAGGCAAGUGGAAUUGGUAGUGUAGCAGUGAAAUGCGUAGAUAUUACCAGGAACACCAAUGGCGAAGGCAGCUUGCUGGGCUACUCCUGACACUGAGGUACGAAAGCGUGGGGAGCGAACGGGAUUAGAUACCCUGGUAGUCCACGCCGUAAACGAUGCAUACUAGUCUUAUGGGGUAUCGACCCCCUGUGAGACGCAGCUAACGCGAUAAGUAUGCCGCCUGGGAAGUACGGCCGCAAGGCUA
Molecule: ribosomal RNA, 372 nt
Filed under: uncultured organism
Description: bacterial SSU rRNA
Rfam family: Bacterial small subunit ribosomal RNA
Source: RNAcentral